Molecule: ribosomal RNA, 301 nt
Filed under: uncultured bacterium
Lineage: Bacteria
Description: partial 16S ribosomal RNA
Rfam family: Bacterial small subunit ribosomal RNA
Source: RNAcentral
CAGCCGCCGCGGGAAUACGAAGGGGGCUAGCGUUGUUCGGAUUUACUGGGCGUAAAGGGCGCGUAGGCGGACUGAUAAGUCAGGGGUGAAAUCCCAAGGCUCAACCUUGGAACUGCCUUUGAUACUGUUUGUCUUGAGUUCGAGAGAGGUAAGUGGAACUGCGAGUGUAGAGGUGAAAUUCGUAGAUAUUCGCAAGAACACCAGUGGCGAAGGCGGCUUACUGGCUCGAAACUGACGCUGAGGCGCGAAAGCGUGGGGAGCAAACAGGAUUAGAUACCCCCGUAGUCCCUGUCUCUUAUAC